CCAAUAGCGUAUAUUAGUGUUGUUGCGGUUAAAAAGCUCGUAGUUGAAUUUCGGGAUUGGGAUAUAUCGGUCGUGCCUUUAGGGGCAUGAAUCAGUGUGUGGCCAAUUCUCACCUUCUGGUGAAUUGGGAUGCUCUUGGGUGUUUCAAUGAACUAGGACUUUUACUUUGAAAAAAUUAGAGUGUUUAAAGCGGGCAUUUUUGCUUGAAUACGUUAGCAUGGAAUAAUAAAAUAGGACGAUGGUUCUAUUUUGUUGGUUUUAGGACCACGUAAUGAUUAAUAGGGAUAGUUGGGGGCAUUAGUAUUCAAUUGUCAGAGGUGAAAUUCUUGGAUUUAUUGAGGACUAACUAUUGCGAAAGCAUUUGCCAAGGAUGUUUUCAUUAAUCAAGAACGAAAGUUAGGGGAUCAAAGACGAUUUAUGUACGUCGUAGUCUUAACCAUAAACUAUGCCGACUAGGAAUCAGACAAAGUUAAUUUUUUAACGACUUGUUUGGUACCUUACG
RNAcentral lists this ribosomal RNA (502 nucleotides) under uncultured Glomeromycotina. Its description in RNAcentral is "partial small subunit ribosomal RNA". It matches the Rfam family "Eukaryotic small subunit ribosomal RNA", at positions 591 to 1092 of the family's 1831-position model. The record is from RNAcentral. Lineage: Eukaryota; Fungi; Glomeromycota.